AGUGAACGCUGGCGGUGGGCCUAACACAUGCAAGUCGAACGGCAGCACAGUAAGAGCUUGCUCUUACGGGUGGCGAGGAGCGGACGGGUGAGGAAUACAUCGGAAUCUACUUUUUCGUGGGGGAUAACGUAGGGAAACUUACGCUAAUACCGCAUACGACCUACGGGUGAAAGCAGGGGAUCUUCGGACCUUGCGCGAAUGAAUGAGCCAGUGUCGGAUUCGCUAGUUGGCGGGGUAGGGGCCCCCCAAGGCACCCAUCCGUAGCUGGUCUGAGAGUGUGGGCAGCCACACUGGAUCUGAGCCACGCUCCAGACUCCUCGGGGGGGCCGCAGGGGGGACUAUUGGACAAUGGGCGCAAGUCUGCUCCAGCCAUCCCGCGUGGGUGAAGAAGUCCUUCGUGGUGUAAAGCCCUUUUGUUGGGAAAGAAAAGCAGCAGGUGAAUACCCCGCUGUUCUGACGGUACCCAAAGAAUAAGCACCGGCUAACUUCGU
Molecule: ribosomal RNA, 491 nt
Filed under: uncultured bacterium
Lineage: Bacteria
Description: partial 16S ribosomal RNA
Rfam family: Bacterial small subunit ribosomal RNA
Source: RNAcentral